Molecule: ribosomal RNA, 253 nt
Filed under: uncultured bacterium
Lineage: Bacteria
Description: partial 16S ribosomal RNA
Rfam family: Bacterial small subunit ribosomal RNA
Source: RNAcentral
UACGAAGGGGGCUAGCGUUGCUCGGAAUCACUGGGCGUAAAGCGCACGUAGGCGGAUUCUUAAGUCAGGGGUGAAAUCCUGGAGCUCAACUCCAGAACUGCCUUUGAUACUGGGAAUCUCGAGUCCGGGAGAGGUGAGUGGAACUCCGAGUGUAGAGGUGAAAUUCGUAGAUAUUCGGAAGAACACCAGUGGCGAAGGCGGCUCACUGGCCCGGUACUGACGCUGAGGUGCGAAAGCGUGGGGAGCAAACAGG